CCUACGGGAGGCAGCAGUAGGGAAUCUUGCGCAAUGGGCGAAAGCCUGACGCAGCCAUGCCGCGUGAAUGAUGAAGGUCUUAGGAUUGUAAAAUUCUUUCACCGGGGACGAUAAUGACGGUACCCGGAGAAGAAGCCCCGGCUAACUUCGUGCCAGCAGCCGCGGUAAUACGAAGGGGGCUAGCGUUGCUCGGAAUUACUGGGCGUAAAGGGAGCGUAGGCGGAUAGUUUAGUCAGAGGUGAAAGCCCAGGGCUCAACCUUGGAACUGCCUUUGAUACUGGCUAUCUUGAGUACGGGAGAGGUGAGUGGAACUCCGAGUGUAGAGGUGAAAUUCGUAGAUAUUCGGAAGAACACCAGUGGCGAAGGCGACUCACUGGCCCGUUACUGACGCUGAGGCUCGAAAGCGUGGGGAGCAAACAGGAUUAGGAUACCCUGGUAGUCCACGCUGUAAACGAUGAGUGCUAGUUGUCGGCAUGCAUGCAUGUCGGUGACGCAGCUAACGACAUUAAGCACCUCCGCCGUCGGGGAGGUACGGUCGCGAAGAAUUAAAACUAACAAAUAGUAAGUUAGACGGCGUGAGACGUCGCCGACGGACGACCGACGAGGGAGGUUAGG
This 615-nucleotide ribosomal RNA is filed under the name uncultured bacterium. RNAcentral's name for it is "bacterial SSU rRNA". The stretch from base 1 to 520 matches the Rfam family "Bacterial small subunit ribosomal RNA", at positions 338 to 873 of the family's 1533-position model. The record is from RNAcentral.